RNAcentral lists this ribosomal RNA (486 nucleotides) under uncultured bacterium. RNAcentral's name for it is "SSU rRNA". It matches the Rfam family "Bacterial small subunit ribosomal RNA", at positions 26 to 521 of the family's 1533-position model. The record is from RNAcentral.
AGGAUAAACGCUGGCGGCGUGCCUAACACAUGCAAGUCGAACGCGCUUGCUAUCCGCGAGGAGGGUGAGCGAGUGGCGGACGGGUGAGGAACACGUGGGUGACCUACCUUUCAGUGAGGGAUACCGGCGAGAAAUUGCCGACAAGACCGCAUACGCUUCUCUUUUCAAGGGGAGAAGGAAAGCUUUUCGCAAGAGAGGCGCUGGGAGAUGGGCCUGCGGCCGAUUAGCUAGCUGGUGGGGUAAUGGCCUACCAGGGCGACGAUCGGUAGCUGGUCUGAGAGGACGAUCAGCCACACUGGGAUUGAGAACGGCCCAGACUCCUACGGGGGGCAGCAGUGAGGAAUUUUCGGCAAUGGGGGCAACCCUGACCGAGCAACGCCGCGUGCAGGACGACGGCCUUCGGGUUGUAAACUGCUUUUCUCUGGGACGAGCGAAGGACGGUACCGAGAGGAAGACGCCCGGCUACUACGCGCCAGCAGCCGCGGU